UAUUGGAUUGUGAUCCUAGAAUAAAUACUAAAUCUCUAUAAAUUAGAAGGUAUCUCACGAAUCCCGAUGAACAUCCUUAGCCUCCCCGAAGUUGAGGCAUGGAUGACCCAUGUUUGAAGUAAUAAAAACCCAAAUUGGUGAGGACCCCACCAAAGUUCUAAGAAAAUAAUGCUAUAGUGACAUAAAAAUCACCCAACUUGAUUAUCAGUUGAAAACAACCGUGGAUUUUGUGGUGAGUGUGAGAUUAAGCUGCAGCGAUGAUUCAAACUCAGGAAGUGAAGAUGCGGGAGAAACAAGAAGACGAUGAUGGCCCACCACCAGGGUGGCAACAACCUAUCCAUACUACGACGCCGUCACUUCCAACGCCGCCGCCGCCGCGUCCAUCUGGUGAUAGUGAGUUUUACCAUUUUUGUCAUUGAGUCUCAUUCUUUUAUUUUGUUUAAUUCCCAUAGCUUUGCCCGGUUUUGUUGAAUUUUUUUUUGGGUGCCUCUGUUCCAAAAUUUGAUUAUGGAAGAAUACCUAGUUGGGUUUUGGC
This 535-nucleotide long non-coding RNA is filed under the name Lupinus angustifolius (narrow-leaved blue lupine). RNAcentral's name for it is "long non-coding RNA (LANG_LNC000813)". The record is from RNAcentral. Lineage: Eukaryota; Viridiplantae; Streptophyta; Magnoliopsida; Fabales; Fabaceae.